This 484-nucleotide ribosomal RNA is filed under the name Aspidoras depinnai. RNAcentral describes it as "partial 16S ribosomal RNA". It matches the Rfam family "Bacterial large subunit ribosomal RNA", at positions 1850 to 2543 of the family's 2925-position model. Lineage: Eukaryota; Metazoa; Chordata; Actinopteri; Siluriformes; Callichthyidae. The record is from RNAcentral.
AGGUCCUGCCUGCCCAGUGACUAUGUUAAACGGCCGCGGUAUUUUGACCGUGCAAAGGUAGCGCAAUCACUUGUCUUUUAAAUGAAGACCUGUAUGAAUGGUGAAACGAGGGCCUAACUGUCUCCCCUUUCAAGUCAAUGAAAUUGAUCUACCCGUGCAGAAGCGGGUGUACAAGCACAAGACGAGAAGACCCUUUGGAGCUUAAGAUUAAUAAUCAACUAUGUCAAGUAUUUAUAAAAUAAAACUAAAUAGCCACUGAUAAUAAUCUUCGGUUGGGGCGACCACGGAAUAAAAACAAACUUCCACACGGAUUGAGAAAUAAUCUUAAAACCAAGAAAGACACUUCUAAGUCACAGAAAUUCUGACCACACAGAUCCGGUAAUUUACCGAUCAAUGGACCAAGUUACCCUAGGGAUAACAGCGCAAUCCCCUUUUAGAGUUCCUAUCGACAAGGGGGUUUACGACCUCGAUGUUGGAUCAGGAC